CCUACGGGGGGCAGCAGUGAGAAAUAUUGGUCAAUGGGCUUACGCCUGAACCAGCCAAGUCGCGUGAGGGAAGACUGCCCUAUGGGUUGUAAACCUCUUUUGUCAGGGAGCAACGCCGGCUACGUGUAGCCGGCCUGAGAGUACCUGAAGAAAAAGCAUCGGCUAACUCCGUGCCAGCAGCCGCGGUAAUACGGAGGAUGCGAGCGUUAUCCGGAUUUAUUGGGUUUAAAGGGAGCGUAGGUGGAUUGUUAAGUCAGUUGUGAAAGUUUGCGGCUCAACCGUAAAAUUGCAGUUGAAACUGGCAGUCUUGAGUACAGUAGAGGUGGGCGGAAUUCGUGGUGUAGCGGUGAAAUGCUUAGAUAUCACGAAGAACUCCGAUUGCGAAGGCAGCUCACUGGACUGCAACUGACGCUGAGGCACGAAGGCCAGGGGAGCGAAAGGGAUUAGAUACCCGGGUAGUC
Molecule: ribosomal RNA, 461 nt
Filed under: uncultured bacterium
Lineage: Bacteria
Description: partial 16S ribosomal RNA
Rfam family: Bacterial small subunit ribosomal RNA
Source: RNAcentral